RNAcentral lists this ribosomal RNA (564 nucleotides) under Pediococcus acidilactici. RNAcentral's name for it is "bacterial SSU rRNA". It matches the Rfam family "Bacterial small subunit ribosomal RNA", at positions 1 to 525 of the family's 1533-position model. The record is from RNAcentral. Lineage: Bacteria; Bacillati; Bacillota; Bacilli; Lactobacillales; Lactobacillaceae.
UAGUUUUUUGUCCUGGCUCAGGAUGAACGCUGGCGGCGUGCCUAAUACAUGCAAGUCGAACGAACUUCCGUUAAUUGAUUAUGACGUGCUUGCACUGAAUGAGAUUUUAACACGAAGUGAGUGGCGGACGGGUGAGUAACACGUGGGUAACCUGCCCAGAAGCAGGGGAUAACACCUGGAAACAGAUGCUAAUACCGUAUAACAGAGAAAACCGCCUGGUUUUCUUUUAAAAGAUGGCUCUGCUAUCACUUCUGGAUGGACCCGCGGCGCAUUAGCUAGUUGGUGAGGUAACGGCUCACCAAGGCGAUGAUGCGUAGCCGACCUGAGAGGGUAAUCGGCCACAUUGGGACUGAGACACGGCCCAGACUCCUACGGGAGGCAGCAGUAGGGAAUCUUCCACAAUGGACGCAAGUCUGAUGGAGCAACGCCGCGUGAGUGAAGAAGGGUUUCGGCUCGUAAAGCUCUGUUGUUAAAGAAGAACGUGGGUGAGAGUAACUGUUCACCCAGUGACGGUAUUUAACCAGAAAGCCACGGCUAACUACGUGCCAGCAGCCGGGGUAAAUA